This 71-nucleotide transfer RNA is filed under the name Phaeobacter phage MD18. It matches the Rfam family "tRNA". Rfam says of the family: Transfer RNA (tRNA) molecules are approximately 80 nucleotides in length. Their secondary structure includes four short double-helical elements and three loops (D, anti-codon, and T loops). Lineage: Duplodnaviria; Heunggongvirae; Uroviricota; Caudoviricetes. The record is from Rfam by way of RNAcentral.
AGGGGCGUAGCUCAGUGGUAGAGCAGCGGUCUCCAAAACCGCGUGGGAGGGUUCGAUUCCCUCCGCCCCUG